This 655-nucleotide ribosomal RNA is filed under the name Hyphobacterium vulgare. RNAcentral's name for it is "bacterial SSU rRNA". It matches the Rfam family "Bacterial small subunit ribosomal RNA", at positions 72 to 771 of the family's 1533-position model. The record is from RNAcentral. Lineage: Bacteria; Pseudomonadati; Pseudomonadota; Alphaproteobacteria; Maricaulales; Maricaulaceae.
ACUCUUCGGAGUGAGUGGCAGACGGGUGAGUAACGCGUGGGAACAUGCCCAUCAGUACGGAAUAGCUCCGGGAAACUGGAAUUAAUACCGUAUACGUCCUUCGGGAGAAAGAUUUAUCGCUGAUGGAUUGGCCCGCGUUAGAUUAGCUAGUUGGUGAGGUAAAAGCUCACCAAGGCGACGAUCUAUAGCUGGUCUGAGAGGAUGAUCAGCCACACUGGGACUGAGACACGGCCCAGACUCCUACGGGAGGCAGCAGUGGGGAAUCUUGGACAAUGGGGGAAACCCUGAUCCAGCCAUGCCGCGUGAAUGAUGAAGGCCUUAGGGUUGUAAAAUUCUUUCAGCAGGGAAGAUAAUGACGGUACCUGCAGAAGAAGCCCCGGCUAACUCCGUGCCAGCAGCCGCGGUAAUACGGAGGGGGCUAGCGUUGUUCGGAAUUACUGGGCGUAAAGCGCACGUAGGCGGCUAGGAAAGUCAGAGGUGAAAGCCCAGGGCUCAACCCUGGAAUUGCCUUUGAAACUAUCUAGCUAGAGUUCGGGAGAGGUGAGUGGAAUUCCGAGUGUAGAGGUGAAAUUCGUAGAUAUUCGGAGGAACACCAGAGGCGAAGGCGACUCACUGGACCGAUACUGACGCUGAGGUGCGAAAGCGUGGGGAGCAA